Molecule: ribosomal RNA, 634 nt
Filed under: Salmonella enterica subsp. enterica serovar Enteritidis
Lineage: Bacteria; Pseudomonadati; Pseudomonadota; Gammaproteobacteria; Enterobacterales; Enterobacteriaceae
Description: partial 23S ribosomal RNA
Rfam family: Bacterial large subunit ribosomal RNA
Source: RNAcentral
GGGUUGUGAGGUUAAGCGACUAAGCGUACACGGUGGAUGCCCUGGCAGUCAGAGGCGAUGAAGGGCGUACUAAUCUGCGAUAAGCGCCGGUAAGGUGAUAUGAACCGUUAUAACCGGCGAUACCCGAAUGGGGAAACCCAGUGUGAUUCGUCACACUAUCAUUAACUGAAUCCAUAGGUUAAUGAGGCGAACCGGGGGAACUGAAACAUCUAAGUACCCCGAGGAAAAGAAAUCAACCGAGAUUCCCCCAGUAGCGGCGAGCGAACGGGGAGGAGCCCAGAGCCUGAAUCAGCAUGUGUGUUAGUGGAAGCGUCUGGAAAGGCGCGCGAUACAGGGUGACAGCCCCGUACACAAAAGCGCAUGUGCUGUGAGCUCGAUGAGUAGGGCGGGACACGUGGUAUCCUGUCUGAAUAUGGGGGGACCAUCCUCCAAGGCUAAAUACUCCUGACUGACCGAUAGUGAACCAGUACCGUGAGGGAAAGGCGAAAAGAACCCCGGCGAGGGGAGUGAAAAAGAACCUGAAACCGUGUACGUACAAGCAGUGGGAGCACAGGUUUACCUGUGUGACUGCGUACCUUUUGUAUAAUGGGUCAGCGACUUAUAUUCUGUAGCAAGGUUAACCGAAUAGGGGAGC